ACCGUAUUUGUUUGAAUCAUGGCUCAGGACGAACGCUGGCGGCGUGCCUAAUACAUGCAAGUCGAGCGGACCAAAAUGAAAGUUUACUUUCAUUUUGGUUAGCGGCGGACGGGUGAGUAACACGUGGGUAACCUGCCUGUAAGACUGGGAUAACUCCGGGAAACCGGGGCUAAUACCGGAUAACUUCUUUCCUCGCAUGAGGAAAGAUUGAAAGAUGGCUUUUGCUAUCACUUACAGAUGGACCCGCGGCGCAUUAGCUAGUUGGUGAGGUAACGGCUCACCAAGGCAACGAUGCGUAGCCGACCUGAGAGGGUGAUCGGCCACACUGGGACUGAGACACGGCCCAGACUCCUACGGGAGGCAGCAGUAGGGAAUCUUCCGCAAUGGACGAAAGUCUGACGGAGCAACGCCGCGUGAGUGAUGAAGGUCUUCGGAUCGUAAAACUCUGUUGUUAGAGAAGAACAAGUACCGUUCGAAUAGGGCGGUACCUUGACGGUACCUAACCAGAAAGCCACGGCUAACUACGUGCCAGCAGCCGCGGUAAUACGUAGGUGGCAAGCGUUGUCCGGAAUUAUUGGGCGUAAAGCGCGCGCAGGCGGUUUCUUAAGUCUGAUGUGAAAGCCCACGGCUCAACCGUGGAGGGUCAUUGGAAACUGGGAGACUUGAGUGCAGAAGAGGAGAGUGGAAUUCCACGUGUAGCGGUGAAAUGCGUAGAGAUGUGGAGGAACACC
Molecule: ribosomal RNA, 731 nt
Filed under: Heyndrickxia camelliae
Lineage: Bacteria; Bacillati; Bacillota; Bacilli; Caryophanales; Bacillaceae
Description: bacterial SSU rRNA
Rfam family: Bacterial small subunit ribosomal RNA
Source: RNAcentral